Molecule: ribosomal RNA, 696 nt
Filed under: Triticum aestivum (bread wheat)
Lineage: Eukaryota; Viridiplantae; Streptophyta; Magnoliopsida; Poales; Poaceae
Description: partial small subunit ribosomal RNA
Source: RNAcentral
AUGAUUGGCCAGUACGAUGUGCGUCCCGCUGGAAUCAACUUCUAUUACCUUGAGCCCAAUACAGAAGAAGUCCUAGGGUAUGGCUCGAGGAAGUACCUAGUCACAGUGAGACCAGAGCCAUCUAUCUACGAUUGCGAAUGUUGCAAGUGGCAUAGAGACGGCAUGCUUUGUUGCCAUGUCUUGAAAAUCUUCACACACCUUGGCGUUAAUGAGAUACCUGAACACUACAUCAAGUGCCGCUGGACGCAACAUGCAGUACCAAGUGCACCACCGCCACCUAACGAGGGCCCUCCGCAUGACUUGCCCGCUGAGUCAGAGAACCAAGUUCGGCAAGUGACUCUGACAAUGGAUUUUGCAAAGCUAGCCAAGAAGGCAAUGACUAGUGAUGAGGCAGCCGCUGCAGUUAGGAGGCACAUGAAAGCAGCAGAUACUGAGGUUACUAAGCUGAAUAAACUAAGGAAGAAGAGGCUAAAGGCAGCCCGGGAAGCGGCUGGUGCUAGGGAAGCAUCAAACCCUAAUGCCCCAAGUACUUCAAACCAUCCUCCUGCCCCCCUGCUCCUAUGGAUCCACCUCGUUCAGUCACGAAAGGGCGCAGCCGCAGCAAGCGCUUCAAAUCAGCCCUGGAACUACACCCUAAGAAAAAGAACAAGUGCAACAUUUGUGAAUCAAUCGAUCACACUGUUGCGACGUGCCUAG